RNAcentral lists this ribosomal RNA (500 nucleotides) under uncultured bacterium. Its description in RNAcentral is "partial 16S ribosomal RNA". It matches the Rfam family "Bacterial small subunit ribosomal RNA", at positions 30 to 523 of the family's 1533-position model. The record is from RNAcentral.
AUUGAACGCUGGCGGAAUGCUUUACACAUGCAAGUCGAACGGCAGCACGGACUUCGGUCUGGUGGCGAGUGGCGAACGGGUGAGUAAUACAUCGGAACGUGCCCAGUCGUGGGGGAUAACGUAGCGAAAGCUACGCUAAUACCGCAUACGAUCUAAGGAUGAAAGCGGGGGAUCGCAAGACCUCGCGCGAUUGGAGCGGCCGAGGGCAGCUUAGGUAGUUGGGAGGGUAGAGGCCUCCCAAGCCGACGAUCUGUAGCUGGUCUGAGAGGAUGGUCAGCCACACUGAGACUGAGACACGGCCCAGACUCCUACGGGAGUCAGCAGUGGGGAAUUUUGGACAAUGGGCGCAAGCCUGAUCCAGCCAUUCCGCGUGCAGGAUGAAGGCCUACGGGUUGUAAACUGCUUUUGUACAGAACGAAAAGGCUCUGGUUAAUACCCGGGGCUCAUGACGGUGCUGUAAGAAUAAGCACCGGCUAACUGCGUGCCAGCCGCCGCCGUAA